UAAAAUUCAAUGAAGAGAAAAGUACACUUCGCAAAUUUUAAGAGAGGUUCUGGAUGGUGCAAAGAACUAAUUUAAUAAGUAGAAAAAUGGUCUCUGAGAAAAACUGUUGAUAAGUAAGCAGUUUCGGAAAAGUUCAUCCGUUAUAUUUGAACGCCAAUCUCAUGAUAGAUGAUGUUGGACAAAGAGAAGUGCAAGCUUCUAAACAAAGGUGGUACCGCGAUAUAUUCGCCCUUUUA
Molecule: non-coding RNA, 236 nt
Filed under: Enterococcus saccharolyticus
Lineage: Bacteria; Bacillati; Bacillota; Bacilli; Lactobacillales; Enterococcaceae
Description: T-box sequence
Rfam family: T-box leader
About the family: Uncharged tRNA acts as the effector for transcription antitermination of genes in the T-box leader family.
Source: RNAcentral